CCUACGGGUGGCAGCAGUGGGGAAUUUUGCGCAAUGGGGGAAACCCUGACGCAGCAACGCCGCGUGAGUGAUGAAGGCCUUCGGGUUGUAAAGCUCUUUGAGUGGGGACGAAGCCCCACGGGACGAACAAUCCCGUGGUUUGACGGUACCCACAGAACAAGUUCCGGCUAACUACGUGCCAGCAGCCGCGGUAAUACGUAGGGAGCAAGCGUUGUUCGGAAUUAUUGGGCGUAAAGAGCGCGUAGGCUGUUCGGUAAGUCCGAUGUGAAAGCCCACGGCU
Molecule: ribosomal RNA, 280 nt
Filed under: uncultured bacterium
Lineage: Bacteria
Description: partial 16S ribosomal RNA
Rfam family: Bacterial small subunit ribosomal RNA
Source: RNAcentral